This 1369-nucleotide ribosomal RNA is filed under the name uncultured bacterium. RNAcentral's name for it is "bacterial SSU rRNA". It matches the Rfam family "Bacterial small subunit ribosomal RNA", at positions 28 to 1381 of the family's 1533-position model. The record is from RNAcentral.
GACGAACGCUGGCGGCGUGCCUAAUACAUGCAAGUAGAACGCUGAAGAGAGGAGCUUGCUCUUCUUGGAUGAGUUGCGAACGGGUGAGUAACGCGUAGGUAACCUGCCUUGUAGCGGGGGAUAACUAUUGGAAACGAUAGCUAAUACCGCAUAACAAUGGAUGACCCAUGUCAUUUAUUUGAAAGGGGCAAAUGCUCCACUACAAGAUGGACCUGCGUUGUAUUAGCUAGUAGGUGAGGUAACGGCUCACCUAGGCGACGAUACAUAGCCGACCUGAGAGGGUGAUCGGCCACACUGGGACUGAGACACGGCCCAGACUCCUACGGGAGGCAGCAGUAGGGAAUCUUCGGCAAUGGGGGCAACCCUGACCGAGCAACGCCGCGUGAGUGAAGAAGGUUUUCGGAUCGUAAAGCUCUGUUGUAAGUCAAGAACGAGUGUGAGAGUGGAAAGUUCACACUGUGACGGUAGCUUACCAGAAAGGGACGGCUAACUACGUGCCAGCAGCCGCGGUAAUACGUAGGUCCCGAGCGUUGUCCGGAUUUAUUGGGCGUAAAGCGAGCGCAGGCGGUUUGAUAAGUCUGAAGUUAAAGGCUGUGGCUCAACCAUAGUUCGCUUUGGAAACUGUCAAACUUGAGUGCAGAAGGGGAGAGUGGAAUUCCAUGUGUAGCGGUGAAAUGCGUAGAUAUAUGGAGGAACACCUGUGGCGAAAGCGGCUCUCUGGUCUGUAACUGACGCUGAGGCUCGAAAGCGUGGGGAGCGAACAGGAUUAGAUACCCUGGUAGUCCACGCCGUAAACGAUGAGUGCUAGGUGUUGGAUCCUUUCCGGGAUUCAGUGCCGCAGCUAACGCAUUAAGCACUCCGCCUGGGGAGUACGACCGCAAGGUUGAAACUCAAAGGAAUUGACGGGGGCCCGCACAAGCGGUGGAGCAUGUGGUUUAAUUCGAAGCAACGCGAAGAACCUUACCAGGUCUUGACAUCCCGAUGCUAUUUCUAGAGAUAGAAAGUUACUUCGGUACAUCGGUGACAGGUGGUGCAUGGUUGUCGUCAGCUCGUGUCGUGAGAUGUUGGGUUAAGUCCCGCAACGAGCGCAACCCCUAUUGUUAGUUGCCAUCAUUCAGUUGGGCACUCUAGCGAGACUGCCGGUAAUAAACCGGAGGAAGGUGGGGAUGACGUCAAAUCAUCAUGCCCCUUAUGACCUGGGCUACACACGUGCUACAAUGGUUGGUACAACGAGUUGCGAGUCGGUGACGGCAAGCUAAUCUCUUAAAGCCAAUCUCAGUUCGGAUUGUAGGCUGCAACUCGCCUACAUGAAGUCGGAAUCGCUAGUAAUCGCGGAUCAGCACGCCGCGGUGAAUACGUUCCCGGGCCU